RNAcentral lists this transfer RNA (72 nucleotides) under uncultured Chloroflexia bacterium. RNAcentral's name for it is "tRNA-Cys-GCA". It matches the Rfam family "tRNA". Rfam says of the family: Transfer RNA (tRNA) molecules are approximately 80 nucleotides in length. Their secondary structure includes four short double-helical elements and three loops (D, anti-codon, and T loops). The record is from RNAcentral. Lineage: Bacteria; Bacillati; Chloroflexota; Chloroflexia.
GUCCCCGUGGCCCGAUUGGAUAGGCACGCUCUUGCAAAGUCCGUUAUGCGGGUUCGAUUCCCGCCGGGGACU